GCUUGCUUGUUGGGGUUGUAGGACACUCUAUACGGAGUUACAAAGGACGACAUUAGACGAAUCAUCUGGAAAGAUGAAUCAAAGAAGGUAAUAAUCCUGUAGUCGAAAAUGUUGUCUCUCUUGAGUGGAUCCUGAGUACGACGGAGCACGUGAAAUUCCGUCGGAAUCUGGGAGGACCAUCUCCUAAGGCUAAAUACUCUCUAGUGACCGAUAGUGAACCAGUACCGUGAGGGAAAGGUGAAAAGCACCCCGGAAGGGGAGUGAAAUAGAACCUGAAACCGUGUGCUUACAAGUAGUCAGAGCCCGUUAAUGGGUGAUGGCGUGCCUUUUGUAGAAUGAACCGGCGAGUUACGAUUUGAUGCAAGGUUAAGCAGUAAAUGUGGAGCCGUAGCGAAAGCGAGUCUGAAUAGGGCGUUUAGUAUUUGGUCGUAGACCCGAAACCAGGUGAUCUACCCUUGGUCAGGUUGAAGUUCAGGUAACACUGAAUGGAGGACCGAAC
This 499-nucleotide ribosomal RNA is filed under the name Staphylococcus aureus. Its description in RNAcentral is "partial 23S ribosomal RNA". It matches the Rfam family "Bacterial large subunit ribosomal RNA", at positions 283 to 779 of the family's 2925-position model. The record is from RNAcentral. Lineage: Bacteria; Bacillati; Bacillota; Bacilli; Caryophanales; Staphylococcaceae.